GUAUUUAUUCUCUAGUGUAUAUCUUUAUGGUAUUACUGGGGAGAUAUGAAGUUCCGACCACUUUGGUGGGUUCUUUUAAAUAGAUUGCUACUAGUAAUAUGAAAAUGCUUGACAUUUCUCUAUAUCUAUUAGAAAAGUAUGUGUAUGGAACUGUGGUUUCUCAUAAUGCCUAUUACAGUAGAGGAGACUUGGAGUUUUCAUAUGAACAGUUUAGCCCAUACCUAUUAAAGGCGAAAGCCUUGAA
Molecule: unclassified non-coding RNA, 244 nt
Filed under: uncultured Chytridiomycota
Lineage: Eukaryota; Fungi; Chytridiomycota
Description: sequence contains ITS2
Source: RNAcentral